Molecule: ribosomal RNA, 253 nt
Filed under: uncultured bacterium
Lineage: Bacteria
Description: partial 16S ribosomal RNA
Rfam family: Bacterial small subunit ribosomal RNA
Source: RNAcentral
GACAGAGGGGGCAAGCGUUGCUCGGAAUCACUGGGCGUAAAGCGCACGUAGGCGGAUUGUUAAGUCAGGGGUGAAAUCCUGGAGCUCAACUCCAGAACUGCCUUUGAUACUGAGGAUCUUGAGUUCGGGAGAGGUGAGUGGAACUGCGAGUGUAGAGGUGAAAUUCGUAGAUAUUCGCAAGAACACCAGUGGCGAAGGCGGCUCACUGGCCCGAUACUGACGCUGAGGCACGAAAGCGUGGGGAGCAAACAGG